CUGACUUAUUGUACCAGAGCGCAGAAUAACUGAUGAGUUUACGAACGAUCAAGGGUGUCAGUAAGCGUUAGGGAAAAUAAGAAUUUAAAUUAUUGCCAGCAGCACAGUUAAUCACCAACGUUUUGAAUAACAUGAAAAAAGCCUAACCAGCUUUGCUUGAUUGAAUGCCACCCCUAUCUGAACCAGGAGAAGUUGAUCAGCUACUGUCACUCUAAGGGCAUCUCUGUGACAGCCUACAGCCCCCUGGGUUCCCCAAACAGACCAUGGGCCAAAGCAGAGGACCCUUCCCUACUGGAGGAUCCCAACAUCAAGGCCAUCGCUGAGAAGCACAAGAAGACCUCUGCCCAGGUACUGUAC
Oncorhynchus gorbuscha (pink salmon) is the source of this 357-nucleotide long non-coding RNA. RefSeq lists it as uncharacterized. NCBI's taxonomy places the organism in Eukaryota, Metazoa, Chordata, Actinopteri, Salmoniformes, Salmonidae. The transcript has 3 exons. The record is from RefSeq and is a predicted model, not a curated record.